CUUUUCUUGUUAGUUUUUGAAGUAUGGCCUGCCCGCUGACUUGAAGUGUUGAAGGGCCGCGGUAUUUUGACCGUGCAAAGGUAGCAUAAUCAUUAGUUCUUUAAUUGUGAUCUGGAAUGAAUGGCUUGACGAGACACGAGCUGUCUUAAGUUGUGAAUAUUUUAUUGAAUUUGGUUUUUGAGUUAAAAUUCUUAGAUGUUUUUAUGGGACGAGAAGACCCUAUAGAGUUUAACAUUUGGUCUAUUUUCCUUAUUGUUUGUUUAUGUUUAAUUGAGUGGGCUUAUAUGUUUUGUUGGGGCGAUGAGAGGGAUAUAGUUUAACCCCUCUUUAUUUUGGUUAUAUUAAUUUAUAGUUGCUUGAUCCAUUAAUUUUGAUUAUAAGAUUAAAUUACC
Molecule: ribosomal RNA, 392 nt
Filed under: Heterotermes cardini
Lineage: Eukaryota; Metazoa; Arthropoda; Insecta; Blattodea; Rhinotermitidae
Also listed under: 2 other names
Description: partial large subunit ribosomal RNA
Source: RNAcentral